UACGGAGGGGGCUAGCGUUGUUCGGAAUUACUGGGCGUAAAGCGCACAUAGGCGGCUUUGUAAGUUAGAGGUGAAAGCCCAGGGCUCAACCCUGGAAUUGCCUUUAAGACUGCAUCGCUUGAAUCAUGGAGAGGUGAGUGGAAUUCCGAGUGUAGAGGUGAAAUUCGUAGAUAUUCGGAAGAACACCAGUGGCGAAGGCGACUCACUGGACAUGUAUUGACGCUGAGGUGCGAAAGCGUGGGGAGCAAACAGG
RNAcentral lists this ribosomal RNA (253 nucleotides) under uncultured bacterium. Its description in RNAcentral is "partial 16S ribosomal RNA". It matches the Rfam family "Bacterial small subunit ribosomal RNA", at positions 524 to 776 of the family's 1533-position model. The record is from RNAcentral.